This 998-nucleotide ribosomal RNA is filed under the name human metagenome. RNAcentral describes it as "bacterial LSU rRNA". It matches the Rfam family "Bacterial large subunit ribosomal RNA", at positions 1922 to 2925 of the family's 2925-position model. The record is from RNAcentral.
GGUAAACGGCGGCCGUAACUAUAACGGUCCUAAGGUAGCGAAAUUCCUUGUCGGGCAAGUUCCGACCCGCACGAAAGGCGUAACGAUUUGGGCGCUGUCUCAGCUGUAGACUCGGUGAAGUCUUAGUACCUGUGAAGAUGCAGGUUGCCCGCGACUAGACGGAAAGACCCCAUGGAGCUUCACUGCAGGUUGACAUUGGGCUUGGAUGCAUGAUGUACAGGAUAGGUGGGAGGCUGUGAGCCGUGCGCGCCAGCGUACGGGGAGCCGCUGUUGGGAUACCACCCUUCAUGCAUCUAGGUCCUAACCGGAGGCAACGGGCCACGGGACAGUGUCAGUCGGGCAGUUUGACUGGGGCGGUCGCCUCCCAAAGAGUAACGGAGGCGCCCAAAGAUACCCUCAGCAUGGAUGGAAACCAUGCAUAGAGUGCAAAGGCAUAAGGGUGUCUGACUGCGAGACAUACAGGUCGAGCAGGGACGAAAGUCGGGCUUAGUGAUCCGGCGGAUCCGAAUGGAAGGGCCGUCGCUCAACGGAUAAAAGCUACCCUGGGGAUAACAGGCUGAUCUCCCCCAAGAGUUCACAUCGACGGGGAGGUUUGGCACCUCGAUGUCGGCUCAUCGCAUCCUGGAGCUGAAGUCGGUUCCAAGGGUUGGGCUGUUCGCCCAUUAAAGCGGUACGCGAGCUGGGUUCAGAACGUCGUGAGACAGUUCGGUCCCUAUCUGUCGUGGGCGCAGGAGGUUUGAGGAGAGCUGCCCCUAGUACGAGAGGACCGGGGUGGACGGACCGAUGGUGCACCAGUUGUCACGCCAGUGGCACAGCUGGGCAGCCAAGUCCGGACGGGAUAAGCGCUGAAGGCAUCUAAGCGUGAAGCCCCCUCCAAGAUGAGACCUCCCAUUGGCGACAAGUAAGGCCCCUCGAAGACGACGAGGUUGAUAGGCCGCGAGUGCAAGCGCAGCGAUGUGCUUAGCGGGGCGGUACUAAUAGGCCGAGGACUUGGCCAA